Molecule: ribosomal RNA, 458 nt
Filed under: uncultured Thiobacillus sp.
Lineage: Bacteria; Pseudomonadati; Pseudomonadota; Betaproteobacteria; Nitrosomonadales; Thiobacillaceae
Description: bacterial SSU rRNA
Rfam family: Bacterial small subunit ribosomal RNA
Source: RNAcentral
ACCCGCACAAGCGGUGGAUGAUGUGGAUUAAUUCGAUGCAACGCGAAGAACCUUACCUACCCUUGACAUGUCCGGAACUUGCCAGAGAUGGCUUGGUGCCCGAAAGGGAAUCGGAACACAGGUGCUGCAUGGCUGUCGUCAGCUCGUGUCGUGAGAUGUUGGGUUAAGUCCCGCAACGAGCGCAACCCUUAUCAUUAGUUGCUACGCAAGGGCACUCUAAUGAGACUGCCGGUGACAAGCCGGAGGAAGUGGGGAUGACGUCAAGUCCUCAUGGCCCUUAUGGGUAGGGCUUCACACGUCAUACAAUGGUCGGUACAGAGGGUUGCCAAGCCGCGAGGCGGAGCCAAUCCCACAAAGCCGAUCGUAGUCCGGAUUGUUCUCUGCAACUCGAGAGCAUGAAGUCGGAAUCGCUAGUAAUCGCAGGUCAGCAUACUGCGGUGAAUACGUUCCCGGGUCUU